UGGGGAAUAUUGGGCAAUGGGCGCAAGCCUGACCCAGCAACGCCGCGUGAAGGAAGAAGGCUUUCGGGUUGUAAACUUCUUUUGUCAGGGACGAGCAGAAGACGGUACCUGACGAAUAAGCCACGGCUAACUACGUGCCAGCAGCCGCGGUAAUACGUAGGUGGCAAGCGUUGUCCGGAUUUACUGGGUGUAAAGGGCGUGUAGCCGGGAGGGCAAGUCAGAUGUGAAAACUAUGGGCUCAACCCAUAGCCUGCAUUUGAAACUGUUGGUCUUGAGUGCUGGAGAGGCAAUCGGAAUUCCUAGUGUAGCGGUGAAAUGCGUAGAUAUUAGGAGGAACACCAGUGGCGAAGGCGGAUUGCUGGACAGUAACUGACGGUGAGGCGCGAAAGUGUGGGGAGCAAACAGGAUUAGAUACCCUGGUAGU
Molecule: ribosomal RNA, 424 nt
Filed under: uncultured Flavonifractor sp.
Lineage: Bacteria; Bacillati; Bacillota; Clostridia; Eubacteriales; Oscillospiraceae
Description: bacterial SSU rRNA
Rfam family: Bacterial small subunit ribosomal RNA
Source: RNAcentral